This 104-nucleotide small RNA is filed under the name Legionella oakridgensis ATCC 33761 = DSM 21215. RNAcentral's name for it is "t44 RNA". It matches the Rfam family "t44 RNA". Rfam says of the family: This family consists of a number of bacterial RNA genes of between 135 and 170 bases in length. The t44 gene is found between the map and rpsB genes in all species in the full alignment apart from Shigella flexneri. The function of this RNA is unknown. Lineage: Bacteria; Pseudomonadati; Pseudomonadota; Gammaproteobacteria; Legionellales; Legionellaceae. The record is from Rfam by way of RNAcentral.
UUCCUGCGCUUUUAACGACACACACGUUUCGACACAUGCAGUAGGGUCCUGUUUUGCAAUAGUUAAGCAUGAUGGGUGCUGUAUGGGAAAUGUGGAGGCUUAAC